This 301-nucleotide ribosomal RNA is filed under the name uncultured bacterium. RNAcentral's name for it is "partial 16S ribosomal RNA". It matches the Rfam family "Bacterial small subunit ribosomal RNA", at positions 509 to 807 of the family's 1533-position model. The record is from RNAcentral.
CAGCAGCCACGGGAAUACAGAGGGUGCGAGCGUUAAUCGGAUUUACUGGGCGUAAAGCGUGCGUAGGCGGCUAAUUGAGUCGGAUGUGAAAUCCCCGAGCUUAACUUAGGAAUUGCAUUCGAUACUGGUUAGCUAGAGUGUGGGAGAGGAUGGUAGAAUUCCAGGUGUAGCGGUGAAAUGCGUAGAGAUCUGGAGGAAUACCGAUGGCGAAGGCAGCCAUCUGGCCUAACACUGACGCUGAGGUACGAAAGCAUGGGGAGCAAACAGGAUUAGAUACCCCGGUAGUCCCUGUCUCUUAUAC